CGACCGGUACGCCUACCGGUACUGGUUCGGCGAUCCUUGAUCAUGGAUGAACUCAAGGACUGCCGAAUCGGUACCGUAAUCCAUACCGGUUGACGGUCGGUAUAGUUCGGUACCGAACCGGAAUGGUGCAACACUAUGACAAUAAUGCCACAGUGCCCACAGUCAACCCGCUGAAACUGGGUUGACUUGGUGCGAACUGACCGGUUUGCACCAAGUCGGCAUCGAACCAGCUGGUUCUGGUUGGUUUCGGCCAGUUCCGGCUAGAAAAGAAUCAGUUCCAGCCGGUCUCUUUGCAGUUCUGGCCCAUACGGGGCGGAACCAAAUUAAAAUGGCGACCCGAUCCGGUUUUGCAUCGGGUUGGCUCGGUACUACUUGAACCGGGCGACUCAGCCCGGUUCGCAAACCUUGGAUAAACUUGUUAUUUAAUAAUGUAACAUGUGAUGUUGAAGAUGAUACAACGUGAGUUGAUGAGUUUAGUGUUAAAUGCUAAUUUGAGAUUAUGGUGGAAAUGUAUGGUAGACGAGGGGCUGGUUUUUAGGACAGCUAAAG
Molecule: long non-coding RNA, 549 nt
Filed under: Phoenix dactylifera (date palm)
Lineage: Eukaryota; Viridiplantae; Streptophyta; Magnoliopsida; Arecales; Arecaceae
Description: long non-coding RNA (PDAC_LNC020948)
Source: RNAcentral